Zea mays is the source of this 2207-nucleotide long non-coding RNA. RefSeq lists it as uncharacterized. The transcript has 2 exons. Lineage: Eukaryota; Viridiplantae; Streptophyta; Magnoliopsida; Poales; Poaceae. The record is from RefSeq and is a predicted model, not a curated record.
UACGCAAAUAUCUAUAUUAGAGAUAUUUUUUAUUUUUUGUACAUACGUAUUUGUCAUACUCUUAAAUAUAUUACAUAUUUUAGGUUUGCUAAACUGGUUAUUUAAAAUAUUCAAAUGGAUAGAUGGCCGUUUAGAGAAACUCUAUACAGAGAGAAUCCAGCAGCGUCCUCUAAAUUUAGAUGACCGUUUAGAGGACGCUGCUGGAGAGCGUAGAGAACCGUUUGUUCCUCUAUAUUUAGAGUAUAGGAGGCUUUAGGGGCUCUUGCUGGAGCCAGCCUUAGACUCUCUCCAGCAACGAACUGUAAAACAACAUGUACUCUAAAUUUAGAGGAUAUUGUGCUCCUUUAUCCGUCCAAUAAGGAACCCUAAAAGGCACUCUAAAAUUUAGAGUCUCUGUUUGAGCCGCUACAUGUAGAGAAACAUUGUUCGUCCUCUAUCCCGCAACCAGAGCGCUACGACCUACACCUACGAACAACAUGCAUGGUCCUCGCCUGCAACGGCUCGACGAAGCUUGACCGCUGAGGACGACCACCAGAGCGGUAGGCGCUCUGCUGCGGUGGCGCAGAGUCGUUUGGCGAUGGCGGCGCCGUGGAGAAGCUCGGCGACAGCUCUGUGGAUCUAAGAUGGGGAGGACUUCUAUCCACUGGCGCGGUGUCGCUCGGCUAUGGACGCGGAGUCACUUGUCGGCGGUGUGGAGCUGGGUAGUGGUGCCCUGGAUCUUUGCUCGACGGUGUGGAGGAGCUGGCGCGGUGCCGCUUGGAUGUGGACACGGAGUCGCUCGUCAAAGUCCCUGGACGAGUGGACGAGUGUUGUACGAAGAACAAAAAUCCAAUUUCCCAUUCGAAUGUGUGAAGCUGCAGCAGUCCAAACAUCCGACUUUAAUCCGAAGCGAACAGCCCAGAGCAGUAUAGAAUGCAAGAGAAACAGCAGAUACAGAGAAGGAAUGUAGUACCUUCACAGCUCGCCAUGGUAUAUGAGCAGCAGCAGAAUGUUUAUGGAAUUGGAGGGGGGGGACGCUGCCUCUGUCACCAGCAGAAUAAGUAAUCUAUUUCUAUAUUAAUCAUGAACUGGUCUAUUUAUCUUAAGCACUAUAGGCACAGGUUAAUCCAUUAAUAAACCGCCAUACUCUAAACUAUCAUGUAGUGAUAUGUUUAUCUUCUGAAAAAGCAUCCAAUUUGAUUGAAUCAAUACUCUGCAAAACUUCACUGUGGGUGCAAAAGGAUGCAGCUCAUCUGUAUAACUGUAUUAUAUAUUUAUAUUUUACAUUGGCUUGCCUCUUUAGAGUUUAUCUUUAAUUAUUUAUUCCUUCUAAAUUUUUAGACAAAUAAUUUCCAGAUAUCUUCCUACAUUAGGAUCCAAACAAGAACUAAUAGUGUACUCCUAGUUCUGACAAAGCCCAUUGAUCAUGUACAAGUUCUCAUUUCUGUGCUAUACUACUGAAGACCUUUGAAGUGGUUUUAGUUUCUACUUUAUAGAGUAUCAAAAGUCAAAACAAUUGGAUCCCAGAUCAAUAUUAUUGCAUGGUAUGUACACAGUACACCUAUAAUUUAUCAUACACACAUUCGGUAACUGUUUGCCAAUUUCAUCUCAGAUAUCUCUUUCAUCAAUGGAGGUGGGCAUAGUACAUUAGUACCAGACAAUGCCAUAAAAAGUAUAUCAAACCUCAAUAUUCUAACAACUGGUGAGGUGGACCUAUUACCAGUCCACUGGUUUCAGAUGCCAGUGAAUUUGAGCCCCAGGGAUAGAGCAGCCAGGAUCCUCAAGCACAAAAAGAAAAGGCAAGAAAGUUUGAUAAGACCAUAAGGUAUGCAACAAGAAGGCCCUGGAUCAAGGUCGCUUCGCCAAAAUAUCAGAAUAGAUCUUAAAGGGGAUCAGAUGUCCUCACCACCAGAUCUACCCAAUAGUAGCUACGGUACCAUUCCAUAUGGUAUUUCAUUUAAGAAGAAGACCGGGGAUUUUUUUACCUGAAGAGUGUCAUUCAGACCACCUAACCAUCUCAACUAGAAUCCCUUUCGCACCAGAAGCUCAUAGUGAACAGUUUUUUUUGGCAGAUUGCUUAUUUCAUUAUCUUGGUACUACAAUACUACACUUCUGUUUUGUAAGUUCACUUGAAAUAUUCUAUUGUUAGAGCAUGUUCUGAUAACAAAAGGUAAGGUAAAAUGUAUAGGGAAGUACUAUAAGAGAAAUUAUAAAAGAUAAUUCCAACA